GCUCUCCGGAGAAAAAGAACCGGUGAAAUGUAAUUGCGAAUGUGAAAUGUGAACUGGUAAUUGAUAGAAUACAUUUACACUAAUAUGUUACUAAAGUUUUUCGUGAUUUAUUACCUCUGAGAGGGGGAAAAAUAACAAUCUGUGUAAUGCUGGUGGAUUGAAAAAAUGCGUUCGUGGAGUGUCUUAAUCGAUGAGGUACGGGCUGUCCAGCGCUCCAGAACCGGCCGCAACUCCACCCUCGUUCGAUGAGGACAGCUUCGUACGCAGCAUAUGCCCUACCUGUUUGUUGUACAGCACGUUGUCCUUUGAGCUGUUAUUUUUAAUAAAAAAAAAA
This is a long non-coding RNA of Anopheles stephensi (Asian malaria mosquito), 334 nucleotides long. RefSeq lists it as uncharacterized. The record is from RefSeq and is a predicted model, not a curated record. The transcript is spliced from 2 exons. NCBI's taxonomy places the organism in Eukaryota, Metazoa, Arthropoda, Insecta, Diptera, Culicidae.